AUUUUAAUAAUUUGGAGUAAGUUUGUCUGCCCAAACUUUUGUUUCAAAUGAGCCUACAGAUUCUGUAAAACAGGGAUCAUAAUUUCUGACCUUUUGAUACUGAACUGCCUAUAAGUCCCUGUUGGAAACGUUGAUUUAUUCAAAGCUUAUUUCAUUGGAAACUAGACUCAUAGAUCUUUCUUUGAUACCUGGAUUGAAAGAUUUAGAGUCCAAAUGCCUACCCAGUUUUCUAUUGAAACCGAC
This 243-nucleotide long non-coding RNA is filed under the name Musa acuminata (dwarf banana). Its description in RNAcentral is "long non-coding RNA (MACU_LNC000589)". The record is from RNAcentral. Lineage: Eukaryota; Viridiplantae; Streptophyta; Magnoliopsida; Zingiberales; Musaceae.